CCUACGGGGGGCAGCAGUGAGGAAUUUUCCGCAAUGGGCGAAAGCCUGACGGAGCGACACCGCGUGAAGGAUGAAGCUUUUCGGAGUGUAAACUUCUUUUAUGUGUGAAGAUUAUGACGGUAACAUAUGAAUAAGCACCGGCUAACUACGUGCCAGCAGCCGCGGUAAUACGUAGGGUGCAAGCGUUAUUCGGAUUUACUGGGCGUAAAGAGUGUGUAGGCGGUUUUGUAAGUUAGAGGUUAAAUAUACAGGCUCAACCUGUCUGCUGCAUCUAAGACUGCAAGACUUGAGAGUGGAAGAGGCAAGUGGAAUUUCUGGUGGAGCGGUUAAAUGCGUAGAUAUCAGAAGGAACACCAAUGGCGAAGGCAGCUUGCUGGGCCAUUUCUGACGCUGAGACACGAAAGCGUGGGGAGCGAUCGGGAUUAGAUACCCGUGUANUC
This 440-nucleotide ribosomal RNA is filed under the name uncultured bacterium. Its description in RNAcentral is "bacterial SSU rRNA". It matches the Rfam family "Bacterial small subunit ribosomal RNA", at positions 338 to 795 of the family's 1533-position model. The record is from RNAcentral.